RNAcentral lists this ribosomal RNA (484 nucleotides) under uncultured bacterium. RNAcentral describes it as "SSU rRNA". It matches the Rfam family "Bacterial small subunit ribosomal RNA", at positions 27 to 523 of the family's 1533-position model. The record is from RNAcentral.
GGGACGAACGCUGGCGGCGUGCCUAACACAUGCAAGUCGAACGAGGCUGAUCUGGUGGCAACACCAGUGACUGCCUAGUGGCGAACGGGUGAGUAACACGUGAGGAACCUGCCCCGAAGACCGGGAUAACUCUCCGAAAGGAGUGCUAAUACCGGAUACCCCACCAGAUCGCAUGAUCAGGUGAGGAAAUGGAUUCCGCUUCGGGAGGGCCUCGCGGCCUAUCAGCUAGUUGGUGGGUAACGGCCUACCAAGGCAUCGACGGGUAGCUGGUCUGAGAGGACGAUCAGCCACACUGGGACUGAGACACGGCCCAGACUCCUACGGGAGGCAGCAGUGGGGAAUCUUGCGCAAUGGGCGAAAGCCUGACGCAGCAACGCCGCGUGGGGAUGAAGGCUCUCGGGUUGUAAACCCCUUUCAAGUGGGACGAUAAUGACGGUACCCGCAGAAGAAGCUCCGGCCAACUACGUGCCAGCAGCCGCGGUAA